ACUGGGUGCCGUGGCCCAGGCCUGUAAUCCCAGCAACUUGGGAGGCUGAGGCAGGAGGAUUGCAAGUUCGAGGUCAGCCUCUGCAACUUAGCAAGACCCUGUCUCAA
This 107-nucleotide small RNA is filed under the name Marmota monax (woodchuck). Lineage: Eukaryota; Metazoa; Chordata; Mammalia; Rodentia; Sciuridae. The record is from RNAcentral.